Molecule: ribosomal RNA, 468 nt
Filed under: uncultured bacterium
Lineage: Bacteria
Description: partial 16S ribosomal RNA
Rfam family: Bacterial small subunit ribosomal RNA
Source: RNAcentral
GACGAACGCUGGCGGCGUGCUUAACACAUGCAAGUCGAACGGAAAGGCCCUGCUUUUGUGGGGUGCUCGAGUGGCGAACGGGUGAGUAACACGUGAGUAACCUGCCCUUGACUUUGGGAUAACUUCAGGAAACUGGGGCUAAUCCCGGAUAGGAGCUCCUGCUGCAUGGGGGGGGUUGGAACGUUUCGGCGGUUGGGGAUGGACUCGCGGCUUAUCAGCUUGUUGGUGGGGUAGUGGCUUACCAAGGCUUUGACGGGUAGCCGGCCUGAGAGGGUGACCGGCCACAUUGGGACUGAGAUACGGCCCAGACUCCUACGGGAGGCAGCAGUGGGGAAUAUUGCACAAUGGGCGGAAGCCUGAUGCAGCAACGCCGCGUGCGGGAUGACGGCCUUCGGGUUGUAAACCGCUUUCGCCUGUGACGAAGCGUGAGUGACGGUAAUGGGUAAAGAAGCACCGGCUAACUACGUG